GAUGAACGCUGGCGGCGUGCCUAAUACAUGCAAGUCGAGCGAACAGACGAGGAUCUUGCUCCUCUGACGUUAGCGGCGGACGGGUGAGUAACACGUGGAUAACCUACCUAUAAGACUGGGAUAACUUCGGGAAACCGGAGCUAAUACCGGAUAAUAUAUUGAACCGCAUGGUUCAAUAGUGAAAGACGGUUUUGCUGUCACUUAUAGAUGGAUCCGCGCCGCAUUAGCUAGUUGGUAGGGUAACGGCUUACAAAGGCAACGAUGCGUAGCCGACCUGAGAGGGUGGUCGGCCACACUGGAACUGAGACAAGGCACAGACUACUACGGGAGGCAGCAGUAGGGAAUCGUACGCAAUGGGCGAAAGCAUAACGGAGCAACGCCGCGUGAAUGAUGAAGGUCUUCGGAUCGUAAAACUCUGUUACUAGGGAAGAACAAAUGUGUAAGUAACUAUGCACGUCUUGACGGUACCUAAUCAGAAAGCCACGGCUAACUACGUG
This 497-nucleotide ribosomal RNA is filed under the name uncultured bacterium. Its description in RNAcentral is "partial 16S ribosomal RNA". It matches the Rfam family "Bacterial small subunit ribosomal RNA", at positions 28 to 507 of the family's 1533-position model. The record is from RNAcentral.